UUUAUAAAUAACUUGUUUAAAUUUAUUAAAGAUUUAAUUUUUAGGAAAAAUAAUUUAUACAAUAUUAAGUUAGUAAAGUUUAUUGAAUUUUUGUUAUUCACUAUAGUUUAAGAGUACUGUAAAGGAAAAUAAAUAAAAUUUAUGAUAGUAAAUUUUAAAGUUUGUACCUUGUGUAUCAGGGAAAAUUUAUUUAAAUUAAAAAGGUUAUAGGUCUCGAAAUAAAAUAUAGCUAAUUUUAUAAAAAAAUUUUUGUGAAAGAUAAAUUUUUAAUAUAGAAUUAAAGGUGAAAUGCUAGUCGAGUUUUAUUAUAUCUAGUUUUUUAAAAACAAAUUUAAUUUAAAUUUUAUGUCUAUAAGUAUAAAAUUUAAAUGUAGGAGGGAUUAGCUUCUUAUAAAUUUAGUUAAGAAAGAGUUAUUAAAUUAUAAUUAUUGAAUUAAGCUUAAAAAUAGCUAUAUUCACAAAGUGUUUUAAUUGAAUUAAGAUUAAAAAAUAUUUAUAAAAACUUUUUUUAGUAUUAAAAAAUUAAUUUUAAUAAAAUAAAUUAAGUUAUAAUGAUUUUAUUAGUAAAGCUUUAUAUGAAGAAUUUUAUUUAAAUAAAAAUAAUAAUAUAAAAUUUAAAAAAUAAUAUAAAGGAACUCGGCAAAAUAAUUUCUUUGCCUGUUUAUCAAAAACAUGUCUGUUUGGAGUUAUAAAAAGUUUAGCCUGCCCACUGAUAAAUAAAAAGUUAAAUGGCCGCGGUAUUUUGACCGUGCAAAGGUAGCAUAAUCGUUAGUUUUUUAAUUGAAAUCUUGUAUGAAUGGUUGGACAAGGGAAAAUCUGUCUUUAUAUUAUUUAUUGAAUUUAACUUUUAAGUGAAAAGGCUUAAAUAAAUUAAAGGGACGAUAAGACCCUAUAAAGCUUUAUAUUAAUAAUUAUUUAAUUAAAUUUAUAUUAUAACAAUUUAGUAAUAAAAUUUAUUUUAUUGGGGUGAUAAAAGUAAAAUGAUUACUAACUGCUUAAUUUAAAACACAUUUAUAUAUGAUUAAUUUUAAAUGAUCCUAAUUAAAGAUUUAAAGUUUAAGUUACUUUAGGGAUAACAGCGUUAUUUUUUUUGAGAGUACUUAUCGAAAAAAAAGUUUGCGACCUCGAUGUUGAAUUAAAAUAUCUU
This 1147-nucleotide ribosomal RNA is filed under the name Pseudograpsus albus. RNAcentral describes it as "16S ribosomal RNA". Lineage: Eukaryota; Metazoa; Arthropoda; Malacostraca; Decapoda; Varunidae. The record is from RNAcentral.